AUACGGAGGGUGCAAGCGUUAUUCGGAAUUAUUGGGCGUAAAGGGCGCGUAGGCGGUUGGAAAAGUCAGAUGUGAAAGCCCCGGGCUUAACCUGGGAAGUGCAUUUGAUACUAUUUGACUUGAGUAUGGGAGAGGGUAGUGGAAUUCCUGGUGUAGAGGUGAAAUUCGUAGAUAUCAGGAGGAACACCUGUGGCGAAGGCGGCUACCUGGACCAAUACUGACGCUGAGGCGCGAAGGCGUGGGGAGC
Molecule: ribosomal RNA, 247 nt
Filed under: uncultured bacterium
Lineage: Bacteria
Description: partial 16S ribosomal RNA
Rfam family: Bacterial small subunit ribosomal RNA
Source: RNAcentral